Molecule: ribosomal RNA, 427 nt
Filed under: uncultured bacterium
Lineage: Bacteria
Description: bacterial SSU rRNA
Rfam family: Bacterial small subunit ribosomal RNA
Source: RNAcentral
UGGGGAAUUUUGGACAAUGGGCGCAAGCCUGAUCCAGCAAUGCCGCGUGCAGGAUGAAGGCCUUCGGGUUGUAAACUGCUUUUGUACGGAACGAAACGGUCUUUUCUAAUACAGAAGGCUAAUGACGGUACCGUAAGAAUAAGCACCGGCUAACUACGUGCCAGCAGCCGCGGUAAUACGUAGGGUGCGAGCGUUAAUCGGAAUUACUGGGCGUAAAGCGCGCGUAGGUGGUUUGUUGAGUUGGAUGUGAAAGCCCCGGGCUCAACCUGGGAACUGCGUUUGUGACUGCAUCACUCGAGUACGGCAGAGGGAGGUGGAAUUCCGCGUGUAGCAGUGAAAUGCGUAGAUAUGCGGAGGAACACCGAUGGCGAAGGCAAUCCCCUGGACCUGUACUGACGCUCAUGCACGAAAGCGUGGGGAGCAAACA